RNAcentral lists this ribosomal RNA (253 nucleotides) under uncultured bacterium. RNAcentral describes it as "partial 16S ribosomal RNA". It matches the Rfam family "Bacterial small subunit ribosomal RNA", at positions 524 to 776 of the family's 1533-position model. The record is from RNAcentral.
CACGUAGGGCGCAAGCGUUGUCCGGAAUUAUUGGGCGUAAAGAGCUCGUAGGCGGCUUGUCACGUCGGUUGUGAAAGCCCGGGGCUUAACCCCGGGUCUGCAGUCGAUACGGGCAGGCUAGAGUUCGGUAGGGGAGAUCGGAAUUCCUGGUGUAGCGGUGAAAUGCGCAGAUAUCAGGAGGAACACCGGUGGCGAAGGCGGAUCUCUGGGCCGAUACUGACGCUGAGGAGCGAAAGCGUGGGGAGCGAACAGG